This 863-nucleotide long non-coding RNA is filed under the name Homo sapiens (human). Its description in RNAcentral is "HSALNT0409352". The record is from RNAcentral. Lineage: Eukaryota; Metazoa; Chordata; Mammalia; Primates; Hominidae.
GAUUUACGUCUUCCUCUCUUUGCUAACGGUUGCUGUUUCUACUUUUCUUCCCCUUUUCUACUCUUUCUAUACCCAGAAGCAGCGGAACUGGCAACACCUUGGUGCCCUAGACGGAAACCUCAGUCCCGACUGAAGCGUAUUCAUCACCAACACUGGGAUAGCUGCAGCUAGGGCCACACAAUAAAAAUAGCCCAGGACGGCACUGGCUAUCCGCUGCCCCUUCAGCUAUAGAAUUCCUGUCCUUAAUCGCUUUUAGUUCUGUAACUGCUUGUGGAAACAGCUGAUUACUGGACAGGUGGGAGUACGAAAGGCGUUUAGUAAGACUGCAAAUCUGAUGUGAACUGGUAGGACGCAGAGUGUAUGGCAUAGUCAAGAAAGAAGUCAACGCCAGGCGAGGUGCUAUGGCUAAGGGAUUAAUCUUUUGUGUCCCAACUAUGUUGCUCUGACGGUUCCACUUGCACUACUGGUUUUUACUUCAUCGUUAAUCUCUGCUCUGGCCGAUAACAGCCUGCAUGAAAACAUCACCAGUUUUCAAGUUUUUCUCAGGAUGAACAGUACAUAGAAAAGUGAGCCUGAAUGCUGAGAUCCUGAGACCGUGCUGCGGCGCCUGGGAAUUCAUAGAGCAGCUUUUAAGGGGCCACCACUUCUCGCAUCGUGUGCCAUGCAAGUAAACCUACCCUAUCCUGAGACCCUUGCCUGGGGUGACUGGAAGAGCUGCUUCUGUAGAAUCCUGGGCCAGACCAUCUAUCUGGACGAAUAGGAGAAAAGCCUAGUUGUUGUCUCCUGCAAGAUGUAUUCAGUUGUAAUUUCGCCUUUGUUCCUUAAUCUGUUAGUAUGGUAUAUUACAUCGAUUAAUAUUUCAU